This 360-nucleotide transfer-messenger RNA is filed under the name Gemmatimonadales bacterium. It matches the Rfam family "transfer-messenger RNA". From Rfam's summary of the family: Bacterial tmRNA, also known as 10Sa RNA or SsrA, is named for its dual tRNA and mRNA-like properties. Its role is to liberate the mRNA from a stalled ribosome. The record is from RNAcentral. Lineage: Bacteria; Pseudomonadati; Gemmatimonadota; Gemmatimonadia; Gemmatimonadales.
GGGGGCGUCUUGGAUUCGACGGGUGCCGUGGGGCGAUUGAUGCGUGCCGAGGUCCUGGGUCCUCGUAAAACCUCUGGGAAACGUUCAAAUGCCAACGCUGAGUACGCGCUGGCUGCGUAAAGCUUAACCGCUUUGCGCACCUGCCCGAGAUGGAGCCCGCCUGAGGCGCCGCUCGGGUAUCGAAAAGUCAGGCUGGCCGAGCGUGGCGCCCUGGAGCGCGCGGCGAGAUCUGAGGGGCUAGACCGAUUGCAGGCUUCCCGACGGCCGGCAGGCGGCGACGGCAUGAAUAUCGGGAUACGCACGUAGACGCAGUCGCGGAUCGAUGCUCGGACCGGGGUUCGAUUCCCCGCGCCUCCACUG